This is a long non-coding RNA of Plodia interpunctella (Indianmeal moth), 622 nucleotides long. RefSeq lists it as uncharacterized. Lineage: Eukaryota; Metazoa; Arthropoda; Insecta; Lepidoptera; Pyralidae. The record is from RefSeq and is a predicted model, not a curated record. The transcript is spliced from 3 exons.
UUCAACAUUGUCAUUUAUUUUCAUUAUCAAAAAUUUCAGGCUACUUAAUGCUAAAUUUCGAAGUUACUUAUUUUUUGAACAAAAAUAUUUAGUCAAACUAAAUUUCGAAGUUAUUUAUUGAAUAAAAAUAAUAAGUCGAAGAAAUAUUACCAAAUACUUAUCAUUAAACAAAACAAAAUGUGUGAUCGAAUGAACGUGAUCAAUCAAUUGCGAACAAUCAUGUCGGCGAUUCAAUGCGGUGGAUGCCCUCCGCCGUGUUCACCGCCUCCUUGCUGCCCGCCGUGCUGCAAAGGCGGCUCGCUCGUCACAGUAUACAGUCAAGUAGCACAUAUCCAGUGAAGAGCUGCUACUGCGCUCGCUCUUCGAUUUGAAGUCAUUUACACUUUGGCGAUGCCGUGCUGGCAAUUGGCCAGCCGCCACUGCCGGUGGCAGCGUUCGAUAAAGCUACCAUCGCCAUUGGCUGCCACCACCCGCCGUGCGUAUGCUGAUUGGACGAGUUAGUUGCUGAAACCUUUUGCUGCUAACAUGAAACGCACCAUCGCUGACGCGCACAAUGGCCCAUAAUUGUGAAGUGUCGUAAAGUUUAUCCAAUUUGUAAAAAGUAAAAAUUGUAAUGUCUUAA